This 542-nucleotide long non-coding RNA is filed under the name Actinidia chinensis (golden kiwifruit). RNAcentral's name for it is "long non-coding RNA (ACHI_LNC001669)". The record is from RNAcentral. Lineage: Eukaryota; Viridiplantae; Streptophyta; Magnoliopsida; Ericales; Actinidiaceae.
UUUUCCUUCUAUUUUAAUCUUCUUUUCCCUAUAUUUUUUUAGUUUUAGUUUUUUCUGCUUUUUCUUUUUCUUUCUUCCCGUUUUUUUCAUUUUUUUUCCCUUCUUUUUUCGCUGUUUUCAUUUUUUCUUUUUUCUUUUUUAUCUACUUUUUCAUUUUUCAUUUUUUUUUCUUUUUCUUACUUUUUUAUCUACUUUUCUAUUUUUUAUUUUUUAUUUUUCAUAUUCUUUUUUCUUAUUGUCUUUUUAUUGUUUUUUAUUUUUAGAGAAAAUGGGUUAUGGAGAUAUUGGGAAAAAUAGGCAUGAACAGGUAAUGUUACCAUCAACGUCGGUUUAUAGGUUGCGCACGAGAUGUCUUUGGGUUACCAAAAUGAGGGUAUAUUUGGGUUUUUUGGGUUUCAGGAUGUAAUCUUUCCCUUAUUAAAUGAGUUAAAACCUAUCUAAAAGUAUUGGACCUAUAAGAGAGCUUAGCCCAAGAAUUCAUAAAAAUAAAUAGUUAAAUUAAAACGUAUAAAGUAUAAUUUUUCUUUUUUUCUUCCUUUUUC